Molecule: ribosomal RNA, 1395 nt
Filed under: Streptococcus salivarius
Lineage: Bacteria; Bacillati; Bacillota; Bacilli; Lactobacillales; Streptococcaceae
Description: bacterial SSU rRNA
Rfam family: Bacterial small subunit ribosomal RNA
Source: RNAcentral
AUAUCAAAGGGAGCUUUUGCUUCUUUCUUUGGAUAGAGUUCGCCAACUUGGUGAGUAACGCGUAGGUAACCUGCCUUGUAGCGGGGGAUAACUAUUGGAAACGAUAGCUAAUACCGCAUAACAAUGGAUGACACAUGUCAUUUAUUUGAAAGGGGCAAUUGCUCCACUACAAGAUGGACCUGCGUUGUAUUAGCUAGUAGGUGAGGUAACGGCUCACCUAGGCGACGAUACAUAGCCGACCUGAGAGGGUGAUCGGCCACACUGGGACUGAGACACGGCCCAGACUCCUACGGGAGGCAGCAGUAGGGAAUCUUCGGCAAUGGGGGCAACCCUGACCGAGCAACGCCGCGUGAGUGAAGAAGGUUUUCGGAUCGUAAAGCUCUGUUGUAAGUCAAGAACGAGUGUGAGAGUGGAAAGUUCACACUGUGACGGUAGCUUACCAGAAAGGGACGGCUAACUACGUGCCAGCAGCCGCGGUAAUACGUAGGUCCCGAGCGUUGUCCGGAUUUAUUGGGCGUAAAGCGAGCGCAGGCGGUUUGAUAAGUCUGAAGUUAAAGGCUGUGGCUCAACCAUAGUUCGCUUUGGAAACUGUCAAACUUGAGUGCAGAAGGGGAGAGUGGAAUUCCAUGUGUAGCGGUGAAAUGCGUAGAUAUAUGGAGGAACACCGGUGGCGAAAGCGGCUCUCUGGUCUGUAACUGACGCUGAGGCUCGAAAGCGUGGGGAGCGAACAGGAUUAGAUACCCUGGUAGUCCACGCCGUAAACGAUGAGUGCUAGGUGUUGGAUCCUUUCCGGGAUUCAGUGCCGCAGCUAACGCAUUAAGCACUCCGCCUGGGGAGUACGACCGCAAGGUUGAAACUCAAAGGAAUUGACGGGGGCCCGCACAAGCGGUGGAGCAUGUGGUUUAAUUCGAAGCAACGCGAAGAACCUUACCAGGUCUUGACAUCCCGAUGCUAUUUCUAGAGAUAGAAAGUUACUUCGGUACAUCGGUGACAGGUGGUGCAUGGUUGUCGUCAGCUCGUGUCGUGAGAUGUUGGGUUAAGUCCCGCAACGAGCGCAACCCCUAUUGUUAGUUGCCAUCAUUCAGUUGGGCACUCUAGCGAGACUGCCGGUAAUAAACCGGAGGAAGGUGGGGAUGACGUCAAAUCAUCAUGCCCCUUAUGACCUGGGCUACACACGUGCUACAAUGGUUGGUACAACGAGUUGCGAGUCGGUGACGGCAAGCUAAUCUCUUAAAGCCAAUCUCAGUUCGGAUUGUAGGCUGCAACUCGCCUACAUGAAGUCGGAAUCGCUAGUAAUCGCGGAUCAGCACGCCGCGGUGAAUACGUUCCCGGGCCUUGUACACACCGCCCGUCACACCACGAGAGUUUGUAACCCCUCGGAAAGUUCAGGGGAUG